This 329-nucleotide ribosomal RNA is filed under the name uncultured eukaryote. RNAcentral describes it as "partial 18S ribosomal RNA". It matches the Rfam family "Eukaryotic small subunit ribosomal RNA", at positions 1470 to 1796 of the family's 1831-position model. The record is from RNAcentral.
CCCUUAGAUGUCCUGGGCCGCACGCGCGCUACACUGAGUGUCUGAGAUACGAGUCUGCCUGGUCCGGCAAGGUCUAGGUAAUCGCUAAAAGACACAUCAUGCUUGGGAUAGAUUAUUGCAAAUAUUAAUCUUGAACGAGGAAUUCCUAGUAAGCGCAAGUCAACAGCUUGCGUUGAUUACGUCCCUGCCCUUUGUACACACCGCCCGUCGCUACUACUGAUUGGAUGUUUAAGCGAGGUUCUCGAACUGCUAGCGACUGAGCUUCGGUGAGGUCGCAGUGUGGGAAGUGAACCUAGCUUUGGUGUCUAGAGGAAGUAAAAGUCGUAACA